UAAGAUGGCUGAAAUAGUGGUGGAUUGUAGCUCCAUAUAUAAAGGUUAAAGCCCUUUUCUUAU
RNAcentral lists this transfer RNA (63 nucleotides) under Rivulus cylindraceus (green rivulus). Its description in RNAcentral is "tRNA-Tyr". It matches the Rfam family "tRNA". Rfam says of the family: Transfer RNA (tRNA) molecules are approximately 80 nucleotides in length. Their secondary structure includes four short double-helical elements and three loops (D, anti-codon, and T loops). The record is from RNAcentral. Lineage: Eukaryota; Metazoa; Chordata; Actinopteri; Cyprinodontiformes; Rivulidae.